Molecule: non-coding RNA, 4103 nt
Organism: Phasianus colchicus (ring-necked pheasant)
Lineage: Eukaryota; Metazoa; Chordata; Aves; Galliformes; Phasianidae
Source: RefSeq, a predicted model, not a curated record
GAGAAGGGUAUGGAUUAUUUGCUAAUUUGGAUGAGUGUUCCCUUGCUAUGAACUGGAGACGCACUAAUACACCUUUUGCUACGGCCGUCUGAUCUACUGAUCGCAAUCUGAUCAGGUAAGGCACAAACUGGGGAGAUCUGCAUGUCAGCCACUCAGGGGUUACAUACAAGUAUGCUGACUUCAUGUAAUCAGGAAAAGUGACAGCACCUGUGUUUUACAGCUUUACAAGCCAGAUACCAGAUGAAAGCAGUCCUUCCUAGUUUCUGGUAGUCAAACUUCAAGAACAGCUUACUAAAUCUGUGUUUUCCUUACCAAAUUGUCUUUCUGCUUUAAUUUCAUUGCCCUCAGUAUGUUCGUUAACAAAAAAUUUCUGCAACAUCACAGUAUAUUUUGAGUUGGAAAGGACCCACAUUACUACUUCCUCUUGCAGCAGACAAAAAAGCCCUGAAACUUCUGGUUUACUGCCAGAAUAGAAAUGCAAAUCACACCUACAAAAAAAAAAAAAAAGCCUUGUAUAUCUCAUCAUUCACAACACUUUCCAAAAACAGAUACAAUCCAAAAGUAGUAGCUAACAGAAAAGGGAUGAGGAAGCAAAGAUGUAAAAGCUUUGUAAUUUCUAUGUGCAGCAUGCUACUUCAUCACCUUUCUGAAGUAACUCCAGUACCUAAAUAGAAGUACUUGCAUUGUAGUUUGCAGCACCACCGCAAUGCUGUUCUCCUCAUCACCCAAAGCACUGAAGUACAGGCAUUCAGUGACACCCCACAGUGAGCUCUGAUUCCAGGAAUCCGGGCAGAUCCAAAAUCACAGUUGUUAGUCCCAGUCUGAUACUCACCUUAAUGCUUUUUUAAAUAAUUAUUUGGGUUCUCUUACAAUUCCUCUGGGAAAUCAGAAAGACUUUUCGGAGAGCCACCAAGAAAGUGGAUGAUUUGGUAUGUAUCUACUGGGAGGUGACUGACAGAAGAGGGGCUGGACUACAGACCGAGAGCCAAUGAUUGAGAAGAAAAAAACCUGAGCAAAUAGGGUAAAUCAGCAGCUGCACAAUGCGCUCGAGAAAGCAGACAGAAGAGAACCAGGUGGCUUGGCAGGCAUUCAGAAAGGGACGUUUAGGGAAAUCAUACGAAGUAAGUGAGCCACGGGGGUGAACAGGUAGGAAAACCAGACAGAUGGAAAGGGUAUCAAAUGAAGAUCAGAACCCAACCACUCAGAUGUGAUCAUAAUGUUGAUUAGUUAUACCAACUACAUUUCUGGUUUCACUGAAACCGUGCUAGACAGUUUUCUGAAAGAUUUUCUGGACCCUGAAUGAAAAUACUGGUAUUUAAAUAGGAGAAAUAAACACAGAGAAACUUAGUUCAUAAAACCUAUUGGAGAAGAACUAAGCAAAUCCAGUCUCAUCACUCUUGUCACUUAAACAUACUCUGCCUGCAUACAGUGCAUUGAAGUCCAGAAAUCCCUCUCUUGGACCCCCUCCAGACAAACAAGAACAGCAAACGCUCAGGCUGAACUCCGUUCAAUGGAGAUCUCAUUAGUUUUACACACUCCAGAACUUAAAAGUUACCUAUAAUCAAGGAAACUAAAAUGAGGGUAAUAAAAGGUAGCCUACUUCAAAUUACCAAAGGGUAAGCCCAUCCAACCACCUAUUUGCAAAGCCAUCCAUAACUUCCCAGAAUCACAGCAGUUAGGUGUGCCCGUACCUGCGUUCUGACUGACUGUGAGUCUCUCUCUGCUCUCAAAGAAAGCACGGGCCAAAACACCACCAAUUCCCACAGUUUCACCCAUUCUGAAAUGUCAGCCCGUCCUCAGUUCCUCCCAGCCAGAAAACACCAAGCGACUUUUCAAGUGCAUCUCAGAUUCCAAGAAAUACCAGAAUAACUGUGCUAAACCCUCGGGCUUUAGAAAUUAAGUGCUUACAGCCAGCAGCGCACACUAACAAGGAUGAAAGCAGAAUCAAGCAAUGGGGAUUACAGAGACACCAGUCUAGGCUGUCCUUAAGGGACAGUAUCAGUUUUCUUGAGAUUUUCUCCCUUUGUUAACUCAUUAUGACCGCUGCCAAGCGAGAACUAAAAGCACACGGGCCUUCUGUGCCAGAUUUCAAUCCAUUACUUGAUUUUAAAUUCAUUUAAUGAUAUAAGCCAACCACACUCACUUUAUAUAGCAGAGACUAUCACAACUUUUCAAAUACGAUGGAGAGCAGCUUGGCAACUUCGUCCACCAGUUCCCUCAGAACCGGUGCACAGAUCCCACCGGGUCCCACCUUCAGGUUCUUUAUGUGGUCAGCUGAUAUUUGUCAACUGUUCAUACUUUAUUAUUGCUAACUAGGGGUAUUUACACGUAUUUUUUGUGUUAAAAAAAAAAAACAAAAAAACACAAAACAAUCCCAUAAGCAUUAGGAAGGCAAAACCAGGAAUUACAGGCAGUGCUGUCCUGCGUGACCACUGCGGGUCCGGCAGAACGAUGGAGCACCGGGACACCGACCGAGGUGUCUCACUCACUCACACACACACACACACACACACACACACACACACACACACACACACACCUUAAUUCGCAGGGAUCUCCCACGCCGCUCGGAGGACCCACCCCCCCCCACCCCGUUUCCAUCCCAGCCGCCCGAACCUCCCCAGCUGUCAUCGCGCUGAGUCACCAGCGCCCAUCGCAACGGGGCUGGAAGGAGCCACGUCCCACCGCCCCCCCGCGCGGAUACGGGCACGGGCCCGAGCGCCCUCCGCCCGCCCCUCGCAGCGGGGUUCGGAAGGAAGAUCCCUGCCGGAGCAGCCGAUGCCAUUGCUGAGGUUCCAGCUGCAGCUCACCGGUGCGGUCUCCGCAGGCAGGCAGUGAAAACACCAGAACUACUUUUACCUCCCACCGUGGCCGGCCUUUCUAUUUCCAAGUGCUUGACCUUCACGCGACAUGCUCACAGCACGAGUAACGGGACAUUAAUUAGAAAACAAAGCUUCCAAACCCAUAGAAGUUAUUUGUAAUCUUCUAGAUUGCUCCUGGUGUGAACAGCAGAAAAACCAGACACUGGGAGAGAGAAUCCUGUCCCCUCGAUAUUGGCCACCUCACUGACACUUCUUACCAACACACGAGCUCUGCUUUAAUUUACACAGUUUAUUACAAAGCCUCAGAGAACUUGGAAGCAGAUAGAAAAAUGUUUGUUUUAUAUCUUUUUGCUUCCAACACGCUCACCUUUUCUUAAUGUCAGUCUAACUUAAGCUCCAGUCCUGUAACGACUUCUGUUUUGAUAAGUAUCUGGAUGCAAAUUAACUCUGUAUGCUUAUUUCCUACAGGAAAUGGCUAAGGCAGUUUGCAUCAUUUAGUUACAUCAUCUAGCAUUUUAACACUAUUAGUAAUUAGUAACUCAUUGUAAUUUAUUGUUGAGUUUACAGAAAGGGCGUAACUCACUUGAAAAACGUUCAAAAUGUUUUACAACAAACAACAUCUAUCUUCUGGGGAGCCACAAGUGUGUACAAUGUGAUAAAGGCAGAGAACAAAGCAGCAGAGGAACACGUGAUAGAAAUGAAGGUGAGUCAUAUUGAGGGCUUGCAGACCUAGUUCAUCUAAAGUCACAGCAACACGUUACUUGCCCAAAGCACCUUUGUUACACUAUUCCCAGAAAGUAAGUGUUGGGUAAGGAAGGAAUUCAUUAUUGGCAAGAUGACUUUCAAGAUUAAGUGGUGGGUGAAGAUUCUUUCAUGUUGCCAGAUGCCUGGUUUGAAUGGGCAGGAAGCCUUGUGACAGCAGUGGCGUGAGCUUGGUCUUAUUCAAAACCUAAGCAGCAAUGCCAAAGAUGAAUGAUCUGAACGCACGGUGCAAAACUGAGUGCACUACAUAGAAACACCAGCACUGGUUUCACUAAAUGUGAAAUCUCUCCCUCUCAAACUAAUUAGCUUUCUGCUCCUAGCCAAGAUCUCCUGGUUUGGCUUAAAGCACAUAGAAGAAUCAAUGUAUGAUAAACUGAUACUGCUGUUCUCCACGCUAUGGAUUUUAACCAGUGAAUAAACAGAGGAAGGUUCCCAUUCUAGAGCUACUAAGGUAGUAAUUUUCACAAGUUUUACAUCCGCAUUCAGAUGAAACAAAAUAAAAUAAACCUCUUCCUGCUA